ACAUUUUGAAAUUUGAAAAUUUCACAGCAGUCCCGCACACUUUUCAAAUUUCAUUUAUUAGUUUACCUCAUUCCAUCAGCUAGAAACCGCAAAACUCCCCCUCCCCAAAUCGUGAGAAAUUAAACCGAUCUCUGUCACUCUCCUCUCUCUUAACAUUUCACCAACAACAAUCAUUUUUCAGUUUUCUCCUUGCUUCCUCGUCCACCUUGAGUCCUCAGUUUGUGAAGGGAAUUUAUGGAAAUUGACAUUGAUGAGCUUCUGGGUCACAAUUGGCCGGUGAGCAUUCCGACGAAGAGGCGAUUUACAUGUGAGGAUAUUGCAUGUCCGAGCAGACAGGUUGAAAUGAGAAGGAGCAGAAGUUAAGGAUCCCGAAGCAACUCUCCGGAGCUUUUUAGGUGCACGGCGGGGGCUAAUUGGUGGUGGCUGGACAUUGUUUGUGAUCGCGAGCACACCGCUUAUGCUGCCUCAGAUGGGUUGCUUUUUCUUGGGGAUCAGAGAAAGGUUUUGGUUGGAAGAAUUGGGUCAUAAGGUAUUGCUAUCUCUCUUGUUUGAACUGUAGUAAAUGAUAUUUCUAUCAUGGCGUACAUGACGAGUUGACUACCUAAGUGUUAUCUGGAAAAGGAGAAUUAAAGAUGAUUCCUUUGGUGGAUGUUGAACAAGUAUUGGUAUGUAUUGCAUCUAAUGCUAAAUGAAGUUUCAAUGUUCCUUGACUCUUUGAUCCUUAUAAUUUCAGGUGUCUUGGGUACUUUUUUGACAUGCACCGUGUACUCACUUGGAUCAUGAUUACUUGCCUUUUGUCUAAUUGACUUUGUGAAUUUGAAUUGUUUUGUAUAUGAUGUCCUUAAGUGAUGAGUUUUGAUUUCUAAGCUUUAUAUUUUUCCUUGUUUGUCUCAUAGGUGGUUGGUGGUUCUAAUUCAUGAGGGUUUAUAAUUCAAAUAUCAACUACUACGUUUGGGCACCUGCAAAUUUGAAUUGUGAUUGGCUUGCUAGAGAUGUGUGUUUUCUUGAAGAAAGGAUUGCAGAGAAGAUGAAUAUCAUUGGAGGACCAAGAAUGGAACUAGGACUUGAGUUUGUUUUAGAGUGAAACAAAGUCUACAUGUUUUGGUACACACUGUAGCAUAACUCAGUGAUUUGGUUUUCUUAAUAUAACUACUCAUUUUGUUGUUAGCUUUUAGUUUAAUAUUUGAAUAUGUGAAUUUUUAUAAAGUAAAUAUGCAAUCUUGUAAAUAA
This 1230-nucleotide small RNA is filed under the name Malus domestica (apple). Its description in RNAcentral is "sRNA MD08G0097100". The record is from RNAcentral. Lineage: Eukaryota; Viridiplantae; Streptophyta; Magnoliopsida; Rosales; Rosaceae.